AUCCAGCUGACUAGUCCGAAACAGGAUGAAACGCGCGUUCUGGAU
This 45-nucleotide non-coding RNA is filed under the name Schistosoma margrebowiei. The record is from RNAcentral. Lineage: Eukaryota; Metazoa; Platyhelminthes; Trematoda; Strigeidida; Schistosomatidae.